UACGAAGGGGGCUAGCGUUGUUCGGAAUUACUGGGCGUAAAGCGCGCGCAGGCGGUCUUCCAAGUCAGUGGUGAAAGCCCGGAGCUCAACUCCGGAAUUGCCAUUGAAACUGUUGGACUUGAGGACGAGAGAGGUGAGUGGAAUUCCCAGUGUAGAGGUGAAAUUCGUAGAUAUUGGGAAGAACACCGGUGGCGAAGGCGGCUCACUGGCUCAUUACUGACGCUCAGGCGCGAUAGCGUGGGGAUCAAACAGG
RNAcentral lists this ribosomal RNA (253 nucleotides) under uncultured bacterium. Its description in RNAcentral is "partial 16S ribosomal RNA". It matches the Rfam family "Bacterial small subunit ribosomal RNA", at positions 524 to 776 of the family's 1533-position model. The record is from RNAcentral.